GGCGGUCCUCAGGGGUGAGGGAAAACAGCCGCUGCUCCUAGCCAAUAGCAGACAGUCGACAUAUGGAAUGAACUAGAUUGUAGAAAACAAACUUCGGGAGUCAAGAGUACAGGGUGCUGCUUAAAUUCCUCUGUUUCAACAGGUCAUAGUCUCUGACUUCUAACAUAUUCAACACUUGGUGUCACUGUUAAAAAUUUUCAAUGGAUUCAGGUCAUAGUCUCUGACAUCUAACAUAUUCAACACUUGGUGUCACUGUUAAAAAUUUUCAACGGAUUCAGGUAUUGGAAGCUGGGGAUAAGAUUUGAGAUUUGCAUGCUUAAGUCUCCCUGACCCCUGUGUUUCCUGUUCAGUUACACCGUGGGAU
Cervus elaphus (red deer) is the source of this 364-nucleotide long non-coding RNA. RefSeq lists it as uncharacterized. The record is from RefSeq and is a predicted model, not a curated record. The transcript has 4 exons. Lineage: Eukaryota; Metazoa; Chordata; Mammalia; Artiodactyla; Cervidae.